UAUUUGUCUCUAGGAUUUUCAGUAAAAGCUAAACCCCUUACAGAAUGAAUGCAUAAGGUAUGCAUGGAAGAAUGAUUGAUAGGGCAGCUAAAAUGUUAUUUACUGAACUGAUAGUAGUAUCAAACUUUGACUGAAAGGUAAAUUAGGUGUUCACAAUCUUUGACCUCAUCUCUAUCCUCCAGGUGCUAUGCUUACAUUUGAAAAGAUUUCAUUGGACAGCAUAUUUAAGAAAUAAAGUUGAUACAUACGUAGAAUUUCCACUGAGAGGCCUAGACAUGAAAUGCUACUUACUAGAGCCUGAGAACAGUGGCCCGGAGAGCUGCCUGUAUGACCUCGCCGCUGUGGUGGUGCACCAUGGUUCCGGGGUUGGUUCUGGACAUUACACAGCAUACGCAACUCACGAAGGCCGCUGGUUCCACUUCAAUGACAGUACUGUAACACUGACUGACGAGGAGACUGUGGUGAAGGCGAAGGCCUACAUCCUUUUCUACGUGGAACACCAGGCCAAAGCUGGAUCGGAUAAACUUUAAUACCUCCUCCAAAUCAUCAUUCACCAACCAUACCAGAGAAACAUUUCCAGUUUUCCACAAAUACUUGAUACAAGAUUUAAUUUCAUUAUGCACUUUUCAAUUUCCUAUUUUGGGUUUAGUUUUGUCAAUGGUAGUGACUUACUGAACAUGGGCACCAACUAAUUUUGUUGUUGUUCUACCAGAAAACCUCAGCAGAUGUUUUGAUUUGCUGCUUUAGUUGUAAUAAU
This 757-nucleotide small RNA is filed under the name Pan troglodytes (chimpanzee). RNAcentral's name for it is "retained intron". Lineage: Eukaryota; Metazoa; Chordata; Mammalia; Primates; Hominidae. The record is from RNAcentral.